GCAUCGCGCUUAUUCACUGUAAAAAGGUUUUAAAAAUCGUAUUUUGAAAUUCGCGCCCGAUCCGAAUUGUCGCGAAGUGUUCCGUCGUACUGUCGAAGUUCGGCGAUCGCGUAUUUUCAUUAUCCAUGCAAAAUUCAAAUGUCAAAGUGAAAUUAGAAAUUAUUCUCAUCAGAAAUCAACGAACAAGUCAAACUGAAUUAUUUUAUCCAGUGUGAUGAUUAUUUGCGCGACCCCGUCAAACGAGCCAUCUCGAACUACAAUCAGACCGUAUCCAAAAAGCCCAAGAUGAAGACUUCAAUACUUCGAGCAGCUGGUCUUCCUCAAAACCCCAUCAAAGCCCAUCGGCAGCAUUGCGACAUUUUCUGGGAGCCCUCAAGCUAGGAAUGUACUCGGGCUGCUUCACUCAGUCAAUUUAAACGGAAUAAAUGCACAAACUGCACAAAAUAUUUUAUUAGGUUAUGCUAUGUUCUACUGCGAUUAGAUGAAAAAGCGGGGGCCUGCAUGUUCUUCAACAGUUAAUUUAAUUAGUAGGUAAUUUGGAUAAAUUUCACCCUUUUUUUUGGAAUCACUAAAGAUUGGAAGUCAAUUGAUUUUACAUUCGUUAAGCAGGGAUGGAUUUUUUGCCUCCAGGAAGCAUCUUCAUUACAGGAAAUUUUUGAGAGAGAAAUGUAGAACAUUGACUCAUC
Long non-coding RNA from Zophobas morio, 686 nucleotides. RefSeq lists it as uncharacterized. The transcript is spliced from 3 exons. The record is from RefSeq and is a predicted model, not a curated record. Lineage: Eukaryota; Metazoa; Arthropoda; Insecta; Coleoptera; Tenebrionidae.